CCCUUCGGGGGAGGAGUAAAGCGGCGCACGGGUGAGUAACACGUGGGCAACCUGCCCUUGAGUUUGGGACAACCCGGGGAAACCCGGGCUAAUACCGGAUACGGCCGUUGGGACCUCGGUCCCUUCGGAGAAGAUGGCCUCUGCUUGCACGCUAUCGCUCGAGGAUGGGCCCGCGGCCCAUUAGCUUGUUGGUGAGGCAGCGGCUCACCAAGGCGAAGAUGGGUAGCUGGUCUGAGAGGAUGAUCACCCACACUGGAACUGAGACACGGUCCAGACUUCUACGGGAGGCAGCAAUAAGGAAUUUUGGGCAAUGGGCGAAAGCCUGACCCAGCAACGCCGUGUGUGGGAUGAAGGCCCUCGGGUCGUAAACCACUGUCAGGGGGAACGAACUACUCCUGGUUAAUAUCCAGGACGGCUGACGGCACCCCCAAAGGAAGUGCCGGCUAACUCCGUGCCAGCA
RNAcentral lists this ribosomal RNA (460 nucleotides) under uncultured Pseudomonadota bacterium. RNAcentral's name for it is "bacterial SSU rRNA". It matches the Rfam family "Bacterial small subunit ribosomal RNA", at positions 76 to 513 of the family's 1533-position model. Lineage: Bacteria; Pseudomonadati; Pseudomonadota. The record is from RNAcentral.